UCCAGUGUGGUGUAGUGGUUUGGGCACUGGACUAUGACUCUGGAGAUCAGGAUUCGAUUCCCCCACUCAAG
This is a non-coding RNA of Phrynosoma platyrhinos (Desert horned lizard), 71 nucleotides long. NCBI's taxonomy places the organism in Eukaryota, Metazoa, Chordata, Lepidosauria, Squamata, Phrynosomatidae. The record is from the annotation of a GenBank genome assembly.